AAUAGAUACCCGGUAGUCCAUGCCGUAAACGUUGGGAACUAGAUGUGGGGACCAUUCCACGGGUCUCCGUGUCGCAGCUAACGCAUUAAGUUCCCCGCCUGGGGAGUACGGCCGCAAGGCUAAAACUCAAAGGAAUUGACGGGGGCCCGCACAAGCGGCGGAGCAUGCGGAUUAAUUCGAUGCAACGCGAAGAACCUUACCAAGGCUUGACAUAUACCGGAAAGGUCUGGAAACAGUCCCCCCGCAAGGUCGGUAUACAGGUGGUGCAUGGUUGUCGUCAGCUCGUGUCGUGAGAUGUUGGGUUAAGUCCCGCAACGAGCGCAACCCUCGUCUUAUGUUGCCAGCGGUUCGGCCGGGGACUCAUAAGAGACUGCCGGGGUCAACUCGGAGGAAGGUGGGGAUGAGGUCAAAUCAUCAUGCCCCUUAUGUCUUGAGCUUCACGCAUGCUACAAUGGCCGGUACAAAGGGCUGCAAUACCGCGAGGUGGAGCGAAUCCCAAAAGCCGGUCUCAGUUCGGAUUGAGGUCUGCAACUCGACCCCAUGAA
RNAcentral lists this ribosomal RNA (545 nucleotides) under uncultured bacterium. RNAcentral describes it as "bacterial SSU rRNA". It matches the Rfam family "Bacterial small subunit ribosomal RNA", at positions 777 to 1324 of the family's 1533-position model. The record is from RNAcentral.